This 427-nucleotide ribosomal RNA is filed under the name uncultured Pseudomonas sp. RNAcentral describes it as "bacterial SSU rRNA". It matches the Rfam family "Bacterial small subunit ribosomal RNA", at positions 355 to 774 of the family's 1533-position model. Lineage: Bacteria; Pseudomonadati; Pseudomonadota; Gammaproteobacteria; Pseudomonadales; Pseudomonadaceae. The record is from RNAcentral. RNAcentral also lists the same sequence under 1 other name.
UGGGGAAUAUUGGACAAUGGGCGAAAGCCUGAUCCAGCCAUGCCGCGUGUGUGAAGAAGGUCUUCGGAUUGUAAAGCACUUUAAGUUGGGAGGAAGGGCAGUAAGCUAAUACCUUGCUGUUUUGACGUUACCGACAGAAUAAGCACCGGCUAACUCUGUGCCAGCAGCCGCGGUAAUACAGAGGGUGCAAGCGUUAAUCGGAAUUACUGGGCGUAAAGCGCGCGUAGGUGGUUCGUUAAGUUGGAUGUGAAAGCCCCGGGCUCAACCUGGGAACUGCAUCCAAAACUGGCGAGCUAGAGUACGGUAGAGGGUGGUGGAAUUUCCUGUGUAGCGGUGAAAUGCGUAGAUAUAGGAAGGAACACCAGUGGCGAAGGCGACCACCUGGACUGAUACUGACACUGAGGUGCGAAAGCGUGGGGAGCAAACA